Molecule: long non-coding RNA, 494 nt
Organism: Thunnus maccoyii (southern bluefin tuna)
Lineage: Eukaryota; Metazoa; Chordata; Actinopteri; Scombriformes; Scombridae
Exons: 3
Source: RefSeq, a predicted model, not a curated record
UGAGCUCAAAAGAUAAAGUUUCUGUCCGGGCUGCAGGUUUUGAAACAAUUUCUUGUAACAGGAGAUGAAACACCGACAGAGGGUUUGCCUCUGGUGGCUGUUUUCAGCCACAGAGAUUUUCUAUCAGAUAAUGUCUAUUUAAGAAGAAAGAAGAGAAAUAAAAGAGAUCAGAAAACGAUGGAACAUUUUCAUCACUGACGUUUCAGCUUUGGGAGAAGCACCUUCAAAGUGUUCGUGUACGCCACAUUAUCCCUGCCAGACCGGCUUAACAUCUCUCACUGGGAGCCAGCAGCAGCCUGAGGUAAAGCCUUCAUUUCUGGAUACAACUGGAAAACAAUGACUAUACCAAAUGGAUCAACUGAAGAUCGGCCCACAGUGGGGAGAAAACCAAAAAAAGAAAGAAAUCAAUGUGCUGUGUUUAUUCAUGUGUGCUUGUGUGUGUGUUUGAGUGCUUGUUUCUGCUUCAUCUCUUCAUCAUAGCUUUAAUUGAUGAA